GACGAACGCUGGCGGCGUGCCUAAUACAUGCAAGUAGAACGCUGAAGGGAGAGCUUGCUCUUCUGGAUGAGUUGCGAACGGGUGAGUAACGCGUAGGUAACCUGCCUGGUAGCGGGGGAUAACUAUUGGAAACGAUAGCUAAUACCGCAUAACAUUGACUAUUGCAUGAUAGUCAAUUGAAAGGUGCAAAUGCACCACUACCAGAUGGACCUGCGUUGUAUUAGCUAGUUGGUGGGGUAACGGCUCACCAAGGCGACGAUACAUAGCCGACCUGAGAGGGUGAUCGGCCACACUGGGACUGAGACACGGCCCAGACUCCUACGGGAGGCAGCAGUAGGGAAUCUUCGGCAAUGGACGGAAGUCUGACCGAGCAACGCCGCGUGAGUGAAGAAGGUUUUCGGAUCGUAAAGCUCUGUUGUAAGAGAAGAACGGGUGUGAGAGUGGAAAGUUCACACUGUGACG
RNAcentral lists this ribosomal RNA (462 nucleotides) under Streptococcus cristatus. RNAcentral's name for it is "bacterial SSU rRNA". It matches the Rfam family "Bacterial small subunit ribosomal RNA", at positions 28 to 474 of the family's 1533-position model. Lineage: Bacteria; Bacillati; Bacillota; Bacilli; Lactobacillales; Streptococcaceae. The record is from RNAcentral.